UCCGACUUGGAGCCGGCAGUCUCUUAUGAGAUAUACAACAUAAGACAUGGGUUGCGCUCGUUUACGGACUUAACCGAACACCUCAAGGCACGAGCUGACGACGACCAUGCAGCACCUGUCAUCCAGUUCCUUACGGCACUCCCGAGUUUCCUCAGGAUUCCGGAGAUGUCAAGCCCUGGUAAGGUUCCCCGUUUAUUGUCGAAUUAAACCACAUGCUCCACCGCUUGUGUGGGUCCCCGUCUAUUCCUUUGAGUUUUAAUCUUGCGACCGUACUCCCCAGGCGGGAUACUUAACGCGUUAGCUUGGACACAGGAAGGGGUCGAUUCCUUCCUACAUCGAGUAUCCAUCGUUUACGGCGUGGACUAC
Molecule: unclassified non-coding RNA, 366 nt
Filed under: uncultured bacterium
Lineage: Bacteria
Description: contains 16S-23S intergenic spacer region
Source: RNAcentral